Molecule: ribosomal RNA, 441 nt
Filed under: uncultured bacterium
Lineage: Bacteria
Description: partial 16S ribosomal RNA
Rfam family: Bacterial small subunit ribosomal RNA
Source: RNAcentral
CCUACGGGAGGCUGCAGUGGGGAAUAUUGCACAAUGGGGGAAACCCUGAUGCAGCGACGCCGCGUGAAGGAAGAAGUCUUUCGGUAUGUAAACUUCUAUCAGCAGGGAAGAAAAUGACGGUACCUGACUAAGAAGCCCCGGCUAACUACGUGCCAGCAGCCGCGGUAAUACGUAGGGGGCAAGCGUUAUCCGGAUUUACUGGGUGUAAAGGGUGCGUAGGAGGUUUAGCAAGUCAGAAGUGAAAGCCCGGGGCUCAACUCCGGGACUGCUUUUGAAACUGUUGAACUAGAUGGCAGGAGAGGUAAGUGGAAUUCCUAGGGUAGCGGUGAAAUGCGUAGAUAUUAAGAGGAACCCCAGUGGCGAAGGCGGCUUACUGGACUGGAAAUGACGCUGAGGCUCGAAAGCGUUGGGAGCAAACAGGAUUAGAUAACCCGUGUAGUC